GAAAAGAAAAGAGAGAGAGGGAGAGAGAGAGGAGAAAGGAGAAAGGAGAAAGGAGAAGAAGUUAGGAUUUGAGAGAGAGGAAGAGACAAACGGCAGUUGGGGAAUCCAAGGCAAGAAACUUCGUAGCAAUACUUCUCUCGUGCUGGAAAAGGAGUUUGGGUGGUGGAAUCAUUUAUUCCGGCAAGAAAAUUCGAGAACGGACAAAGUUUCUUGAAGUUCUUGGACGAAAAUCGGAGUUUAGUUGGACUUCAGGUAAACCGAUCGAAAACAGAAAAUGAGAGAGAAAGAGACCGCCACGCGUUGACUGGCAAACGGAGGAGCGCGGCGGAGUCGGCGUCCAUCACAUGGCAGUGUUCCACUAGUGCGCUAAGUCGGGUCGACCCGUACGCUCGCCGAACCGGUUCGAAAACCUGCAGUCCAACCCGACGUUUCCCGCCAAACACUGUGUGCCACGUGUCGUGCUCAUAAAAUUCGAAGGUAAGUUCACGGUCGUUGGGGUUCGAAACACGGCACUACCCGCGCGUGUGCCCUGCGCGUGUGGGCGUGUGGAGACCUACUGGCGUGUGCACGGCGUGUGGGACACCAUUCUCUCACCCGUCUGGCCUCCGUUUGGUUGUUUUUUUGCCUCAGAUUUCAAAUCUGAUACUAUUUUUAUGUGAAUUAGAACCUAUCAAGAAAAUUUCAGAAUUUUUGGAGCCAUUUUCGGCAAAUAAUUCGAGCUUGGAAAGACACGCGUCUUAA
Long non-coding RNA from Cucurbita maxima (winter squash), 741 nucleotides. RefSeq lists it as uncharacterized. The record is from RefSeq and is a predicted model, not a curated record. Lineage: Eukaryota; Viridiplantae; Streptophyta; Magnoliopsida; Cucurbitales; Cucurbitaceae. The transcript has 3 exons.